This is a long non-coding RNA of Triticum dicoccoides, 2902 nucleotides long. RefSeq lists it as uncharacterized. The record is from RefSeq and is a predicted model, not a curated record. NCBI's taxonomy places the organism in Eukaryota, Viridiplantae, Streptophyta, Magnoliopsida, Poales, Poaceae. The transcript is spliced from 3 exons.
CCCAUCCGCUCGGGCGCCGUGCUCGUCUUGCGGAACGUGCAAAAGGGUCAACCCUUCUCGUCAAGCCCGCGCGCCCACUCCGCCUCGUCUCCUCCCUGCUCCCAUCUCUCCCAUGUCGCCGCCCUCGAUCCCGCACCCCCUCCACCUCGUCUCGUCACUCCUCUCCAAGGCCGCCGUCCUCGAUGCGCCGUAAGGGAUGCCAUCGACACGUCGGGGAUACGCAGCGAUGGAACUCAACCGGAGUCCGGGAGAAACCCACUCCUAACCCUAUUCGCUCGAUUGACGAGCAGGGCAGUGGAUUGGAUCGAGGGCGCCCGCAUGGCCUCGCCGCUGCUGCCACCUGAAUUCCCUAGCCUCCACGUGGAGUCGCCCUGGCCGCCACCUCGAGUCACCUCCGUCGCCGCAGCGAGUUAGCUCCACCGUUGCCGCCAGGAUUCCCGUCCGGCAAGGAAAUAGCAUUCUUUGACGUGACUAGAACAGGAAAGCUCUUAAGGAGGCUUUCUAAAGAUACCCAAAUUAUAAAGAAUGCCGCUACAACAAACCUUUCAGAAGCAAUACGUAAUCUGACUACCACAGCUAUUGGUCUUGGCUUUAUGUUUUCAACUUCAUGGAAGCUAACAUAUCCUUUGCAGAUCAAUUGUCGAGGCAGAAUGCUAGGUGGCUCACGCUAAGCAUCGUUUCACAUUCACGUAAGGCUCUUUGUUUGCAACCAGUUUUGCACCCACUACACAUGGGGUUUGAUCUAAAUGUAUCAGAAAGAUGGUCUCGUUGAGAAACAUUUGGUAGAUAACUUUUUUGACCUGGGUAGAUAACUUUUAUUAUUCAAGAUGCAACAUGUUGUUUUGAUGUAUUUUGUUACGAUAUUUCUCUCAAUGUUUUGUGUACUGAACCAAAGACAAACACUUUUACUGGUGAUGUUGGGGCUUUUUUAACUGAGAUGUGAAAGAUGCAUCUUAUCCCCUGAGAAAUAUUGCCUUUCAUUUGUUGAUUUGUUUCCUGACAUGCUAAUUUAGAGCUAGAUAUGCAUGAUUCAUCACACACAUUACAGUCAAUUAUCCAUUGGAGUCUUUUGUCCAUAGAGGUGAUUUUGUUUGGACCACUGGUCUAGGUAGUGAUAUUUUGAUCGAUAAGGCACAAGUUUAUUUUCUUUUUCACUCAGGGCUACACUAAAGUAAGCAUCACCGUCAGUGAAAAUAAGGCAUAAAAAUCAAGAAGUUUUUGCCUUGGUUGUGCGCCGCAUUUAGUUGUCACUUAUUUAUUUCUAUGAAGUUAUUCAAUUCUCACCGAGCUUUCCUUAUGCUUUCAAUUGCUAAAUAAGAAAUUUAAUAUGCAAUAUUUUUAAUGUCUGAGGAGGCGAGAGGAGAAGAAAAGGGUCUGUAAGGUCGGACUUAGGUGCAUCUCUGGCCAGAGAUGGCUGGAUCCAUCCGACGCUCUUCCAAACAGAGCGUGAAGAUUUGCUGACUGGUACAAUAUUUAAACCUUGUCUACUCUAGUUUCUUUUUACAUCUCUUAGUAUCAACAAAUUAGUUAGUUACAAUAUAUACUUGAAGAUUGCAGCAGGCACAAAAUGUUUGGCUGACCACCCGGUUAAGUGAGUUGUCCCUAUGAAGGGUCAGUAGAGUAGUUGCUUCUUUUAAAUAAAAAAUGAGGAUCAGUUUGGUUGCCACGUGACGGUAAGGCCAGAAUGGUGGUACGAAAAUUGGUUCUGUAUAAUGGUAAUAUGUGUUGUGGAGUUGGAGCUCGAUUUUUUUGAAGUUGGAGUGGCUAUGUUGUCUAUACAUAUAUGCCGCCCACUAAAUUCAGAUUUCAGUAUACUGUUUAGAAUAGGUGUGGAUCAUUGUGUUGUGUUCAGAAUAGAGCUAGAGAGAAGGGAAGAGUUGCCACCGUAACAUUUAUUUGUACUACAUUGUCCCACUGUCAAUUUUCUUAAAGUACAUUACACUCUUCUUCUUCGAAGAAUAGAUUGAUGCUCUCUACCUCAGGUUUAACAAUGCAUGUAGGUUGGCCGGUGUACUAAUUUUGAUGCUUCUUGAUCAGUGUUUGGAAGCCAUGGGCUUUUGUGUAUUUGCAUAAGCUUCCUUUGUUUUUAUUAUUUUCUCUCUUUAGUGUUCCUUUGUGUUCCUUUGUAACUGUCUGAUGCUAUGCCUUGGGCGGCCCCUCUGUCUUGGUUUACAGCUCCAUAUGGCUAGCUAUGCAUACAUAUGUAAGUUUUCUUUGGACUGUACUCAAAUCGUGCAGAUGUUUCCAUAUUCAUGCAUUCCUCUUUUUAACUCGUGAUUGUUAGAUAGUUGAAUAUCAUUGGUUUCUGUCGGUGUUCGGUUUUUGCAGUUUGAAAUAGGUAUUGGUCCUCUGAUAUUAAACUUCACAAUAGGUAGUGGCAUCUUCAGGAAAAAGUAGUGGCAGAUAUGCUGGACACUUCUUUUCCGUUGAAGAAAUGAUGCUAUUGACUUGAGUGCUCAACACAUAUUUUUCAGUAAUGGAGAGGAUUAUUCACCUUUGCCACUGCAGGAGUUAAGACCUGGUGGAGCCAGGCCAACGGGCACUAUCAGUGUUAAAAACCCUGCCCUGAUGAGCUUCUUUGUGCCCGGAACAAGACUAUUAGGGGCACCUUAAGCGAGUACUCGAGAGCUCAAGGCAUGCAGUCAAGUCGUACAAGGAGUGCGACCAGACCAACUUUCCUGUUCGUGUGACAGCAAAGUAGAACCCAUAGGAUGGACACUGAUGUAUGUAAUGGGUUAUCUGCAGUAUAUCUCAAUUUUUUAUGUGAUAUGUCAUGUAUAUAUAUGCUAAAGGUGAGCUUUAAUCAACCUGCAGCGUAUCUCAAUUUUGUAUGUGAUAUAUCAUGUAUGUAUAUGCUAAAAUUUUGCUUUUAUCAACCUCUGCGAUAUUUGAAUUUUCAAAA